AACGCACAUUGCGCCCGCCAGUAUUCUGGCGGGCAUGCCUGUCCGAGCGUCAUUUCAACCCUCAGGCCCCCAGUGCCUGGCGUUGGGGAUCGGCGUGGCGUCCUCCGGGACGCUGCCGGCCCCGAAAUUCAGUGGCGGUCUCGCUGUAGCCCUCCUCCGCGUAGUAGCACAACCUCGCGGCCUGGAGCUCGGCGGUGGCCAUGCCGUAAAACACCCCACUUCUGAAAGUUGACCUCGGAUCAGGUAGGAAUACCCGCUGAACUUAA
This 266-nucleotide unclassified non-coding RNA is filed under the name uncultured fungus. RNAcentral's name for it is "sequence contains ITS2". The stretch from base 1 to 52 matches the Rfam family "5.8S ribosomal RNA", at positions 103 to 154 of the family's 154-position model. Lineage: Eukaryota; Fungi. The record is from RNAcentral.